CUUGCACAAUGGACUCAUGACUAAAGCAGCCACGGUGGCAGAGAUGGAGCUCCCUUUACCAAGGCUGAUCAAAUUGCUACUGCAGAUUGUCCAAAAUGUCAGCAGUAGAGACCAAUGCUGAGUUCUCAUUUGGUACCAGUCUUUGAGGAAAUCAAUUAGCCACUUGCUGGCAAGUUGAUUACAUUGGGCUACUUCCACCUGGAGAGGGCAGAAAUUCAUUCUUCUUUGUACUGAUACACGUUCUAGCUCUUACCUCAAAGUGAUUAAUAUGUCACAAAAUGGAUGAGCUGGACAUCUGGCUUCUAAUGGUUUUUCUGAUGGAGGCAAUAUGAUCAGCGAACAAGACAGAAAGGAAUGCAAGAGGAUGGAGAGAGAACUGCAAAGAACCUGAUUUUCUCAUUACUGAGUAGUCUACUUGUGAGCAUCUGAAGCUGACAACUCUUCUUCGAGUUAAGCAGCAUGUUAUCCAGAUGAGGAAGCCACGGCUCAGAAAGGGUAUCUCGACAGGGACACAAGCACGCGCUGACAACAUGAUCAAUAGCUACAAGCAAGACCAACAGGUUGUACCACUGUCAGCAUCAGUGAGCACUGGAGACCAAACUCACCUCUACCCGGGACCUCACACCUGUCACUGGAGAGGACGCUCUGAAAUCUCCUGGAAAGAAAUUUGCCACCAUUUCAUCAACCCCUUGAGAGCAACAAGGAAGGUCUGUGUGGCCAAGUCUGCAAUCAAGAAAUGGCUGCUGGAAGAGGCAUCUCUGACCCAACCCAGGAAGGCCAUCACUGCCUCCAAAGAGUACCAUCGUGCAAAUUAGCAAAAUCCCCUUGUGUUUUGCAGCACUGGGCAUUGUUAUCAUUUUGGAGGAGGGCCAUGAUGAAACUACAUACUUUUUUGUUUGCGUAUCAUGUAACUAGUUAGAUUUAAAAUUUUUAUUUUAUACCAAAUUGUGGAAUUAUUUUCAAUCAUUGUUGGAAUUGAAAUAUUCAUGCAACCUCUUCAUAGAGCUAGUCACUUCAGAUGUGGAACACAGAGAGAGG
This 1038-nucleotide long non-coding RNA is filed under the name Equus caballus (horse). RNAcentral describes it as "lncRNA (ENSECAG00000042943.2)". Lineage: Eukaryota; Metazoa; Chordata; Mammalia; Perissodactyla; Equidae. The record is from RNAcentral.